RNAcentral lists this ribosomal RNA (253 nucleotides) under uncultured bacterium. RNAcentral's name for it is "partial 16S ribosomal RNA". It matches the Rfam family "Bacterial small subunit ribosomal RNA", at positions 524 to 776 of the family's 1533-position model. The record is from RNAcentral.
UACGUAGGGUGCAAGCGUUGUCCGGAAUUAUUGGGCGUAAAGAGCUUGUAGGCGGUUUGUCGCGUCUGCUGUGAAAUUUCGGGGCUCAACCCCGAACUUGCAGUGGGUACGGGCAGACUAGAGUGUGGUAGGGGAGACUGGAAUUCCUGGUGUAGCGGUGAAAUGCGCAGAUAUCAGGAGGAACACCGGUGGCGAAGGCGGGUCUCUGGGCAGUAACUGACGCUGAGAAGCGAAAGCGUGGGGGGCGAACAGG